GUGUCAGCAGCCGCGGUAAUACGAAAGGGGCUAGCGUUGUUCGGAAUUACUGGGCGUAAAGCGCGCGUAGGCGGCCUUGCAAGUUGGGGGUGAAAUCCCGGAGCUCAACUCCGGAACUGCCUUCAAAACUGCAAAGCUAGAGGAUGCGAGAGGUGAGCGGAAUUCCGAGUGUAGAGGUGAAAUUCGUAGAUAUUCGGAAGAACACCAGUGGCGAAGGCGGCUCACUGGCGCAUUUCUGACGCUGAGGCGCGAAAGCGUGGGGAGCAAACAGGAUUAGAUACCCUGGUAGUCCACGCCGUAAACGAUGAGGGCUAGUUGUCGGGCGGCUUGCCGUUCGGUGACGCAGCUAACGCAUUAAGCCCUCCGCCUGGGGAGUACGGCCGCAAGGUUAAAACUCAAAGGAAUUGACGGGG
RNAcentral lists this ribosomal RNA (413 nucleotides) under uncultured prokaryote. RNAcentral's name for it is "bacterial SSU rRNA". It matches the Rfam family "Bacterial small subunit ribosomal RNA", at positions 505 to 918 of the family's 1533-position model. The record is from RNAcentral.